RNAcentral lists this ribosomal RNA (162 nucleotides) under uncultured bacterium. RNAcentral's name for it is "partial 16S rRNA". It matches the Rfam family "Bacterial small subunit ribosomal RNA", at positions 358 to 511 of the family's 1533-position model. The record is from RNAcentral.
GGAAUCUUCGGCAAUGGACGAAAGUCUGACCGAGCAACGCCGCGUGAGUGAAGAAGGUUUUCGGAUCGUAAAACUCUGUUGGUAGAGAAGAACGUUGGUGAGAGUGGAAAGCUCAUCAAGUGACGGUAACUACCCAGAAAGGGACGGCUAACUACUUGCCAC